GGCAGUGUAGCUGGGCUGGUAGAGUGCUUGCCUAGCAUGCAGGAGGCCCUGGGAUAGAUUCCCUGCACCCG
RNAcentral lists this transfer RNA (71 nucleotides) under Neotoma lepida (desert woodrat). It matches the Rfam family "tRNA". Rfam says of the family: Transfer RNA (tRNA) molecules are approximately 80 nucleotides in length. Their secondary structure includes four short double-helical elements and three loops (D, anti-codon, and T loops). Lineage: Eukaryota; Metazoa; Chordata; Mammalia; Rodentia; Cricetidae. The record is from Rfam by way of RNAcentral.